This is a long non-coding RNA of Ipomoea nil (Japanese morning glory), 603 nucleotides long. RefSeq lists it as uncharacterized. The transcript has 3 exons. Lineage: Eukaryota; Viridiplantae; Streptophyta; Magnoliopsida; Solanales; Convolvulaceae. The record is from RefSeq and is a predicted model, not a curated record.
UUUAAUAAUCUAACCUCACCUCAGAUUUUCCUUACCUAUCUUCCCGCCUCGCCCAUCUCUCUCUAAGGCUCUCACCACCGCCGUGUCUCCGUCUCCGCCGCUCUCACCCCGAUCUAUCUGUCCGUCUCUCCGGGGCCACUGGGCUAAACUGAGGAAUUGGGAUCAUCUCAAUCUGCAGUCUCGUAAUAUUACUUAUAUAAGAGCUCGUAUGCAGUGAGCUGACCUAGCUGCUGCGUCUGCUGCUGUGCUAUACGAUGCUGAUUAUCCCAAGGUAACAUUUUAAAGUACAUUGCGGGUAGACUUCUCAACAAGACAAGUGCAUCAUGGACGAUCAAAAGGACUGGUUUGGUGCAUCAAUGGCAGUGCAAACAGCGGAGAUUGCUAUGUAGUUCUAUACACCUAUCACUAUCAUGAUAAGAAAGAAGAUUAUUACCUGUGCUGGUGGAUUGGAAAGGAUAGUAUUGAGGUAAACUAUUGUCAGUUGAAUAAGAGAAUCUGAUUUGCAUGUUUUUCUUCCAUUUUGUUAAAUUGUGUGCUUUAAUCCAACUUAAGCCCAAACUAAUAGUGAGGAAGAGUAUAUAUUCAUACUAGUGAAUAACAUUU